Mercurialis annua (annual mercury) is the source of this 85-nucleotide small nucleolar RNA. RefSeq annotates it as small nucleolar RNA Z102/R77. The transcript has a single exon. The record is from RefSeq and is a predicted model, not a curated record. NCBI's taxonomy places the organism in Eukaryota, Viridiplantae, Streptophyta, Magnoliopsida, Malpighiales, Euphorbiaceae.
GAAUGAUGUGAUGAUUUGUGAUUAAUUUCCCUAUUGGUUUGAUCGCCGUUAUGAUGGCAACAGUAUUAGCUCUAUCUGAUCAUUC